Long non-coding RNA from Triplophysa dalaica, 2124 nucleotides. RefSeq lists it as uncharacterized. The transcript has 3 exons. Lineage: Eukaryota; Metazoa; Chordata; Actinopteri; Cypriniformes; Nemacheilidae. The record is from RefSeq and is a predicted model, not a curated record.
AGCAAUCAUUUGUUUUUAUUUGUACAGGUCGUAGUGUCAAAUGUUCAUAGACUAACGUUAUCAACACGUUACAUAUUUCAGUACAUAAACAGUUGAUUUAUAUUUUGUAUUAUUGUAAAGUUAGGUUUAGGGUUUGGGUAGGCGUAGGGGUUAGCUAAUGUUAUUUUAUUGGAAUUCUAUGGCGAGAUGGUUGCACCACUUCCGGCCGUAGCUGCAUCCCUUCUAGAUACAACCUAUCUGCGAAGAAGAAGAAGACAGAGCGCAAUGCACGACGUAGAAAUGGCUAAACAACAUUACAGUUCUAACGGCGGGCACUUUUGAGCGAAAGGAUCCACCGAUGCAAACCACAAAACACCGCUGUAGAUGAAAAAUCUGUCAUUUCUCGUGUAACGGAGGCCAGCUGUUAGAGGGAGAGCUGUGUGUGCACGCAGAGGCUGCGAGCUCGUCUCUCCCUCGCCGGACCGAUGGCGGUUUCGAGGCUAGGAGGGGUUACAUCCCGCAUCCCUGAGAACACCCCCCAGGAAAGAAUGAAUUCGGCGAGAGUCCCGUCUGGUCGUGAGGAGAGUAUCACUACAGGUGAGGCAUCAGAAAGUUUGUCAGUAUUUUAUGAGAUCCAAGCGCCUGUGAGAAGGGCGUUGUGUGUUUUUACUGUCCCAGAGAAACCUGUAGGCUCUUUGUUGCGAAAAGCAGGCGGUUACGUCAUCUCGGGGGGAAUGCGCUUUGCGGUUGUUCAACAGGUCAUGCACUCCAUUACAACAGCUGCCCAGCUGGACAAAAAACCCAACCCAACGCUCGCUUCAGUGAUGGAACGUAGAUAAGCAGGGAGGUACUUUGCAGCCUGUCCGUUUACCAUGGGAAUGGAACUCCCGCCGGCCGUGAUGGAGAGGAAACAGGGGUCUCUGUACACACUUUAUUCUGACCGUUCUUCAUCACUCAGACCAGGUGGACAUCUCCAACACUUUGGACGGGUCACUGGAUCACCGCUUCUUUCACCACAUCCACAGCCAGACUGGAUGUCCGUACUGUAUUUAUUUUUCAGGGUGUGUUUGUGUGUGUGUGUUUGUGCGUGUGUGUGUUUGUGUGUGUGUGUGUUUAAUUAAGCUGUCCACAGAGGGGUUUCCUGGACAGAGCCCGAUGAAGACAUACCAGACGGUAUGUGUAUGGACCCAGAGGGUGUCAGUGGGUCGCCUGCUACCAUGGAGGAAGAGAUUUGCGCAUUGACCCACAAAAAGGUGUGUGAGUUUCUCAAUCUAUUUGCCAUUUGUGUUUGUGUUGCCGGAGGAAAAUGAACCCCACUAAAAUUGCAUUUUGAGACCAUUUGAUGGACCAUUUUAAAGCGGCCGUCUUUAUCGAAAUGGCUUUUGUCCAAUACGUAAAGUUAACGGACUUCCUUCAGGCACCCGACUGCAGACUGUGAAACUGGUAGGAGAAGACCACCUCGUGUUGUGCUGGUGGAAAGGAUCACGCUGAUCUGUACAUCACCAUCAUGCCGUUUAAAGACAUGGAUGGAAAUUCACUGGCCAUACAGCCUUCGACACAUAACAUCCUUUAUUCUCACCGCAGGUCACGGGUGUGGGAGUGACAGCCAUUCCAUUGUUCUGGUGUACUGGAUAAAAACCAAGAAGACAGCGAUGAUGCUUGUUGAUACGUUACCAUUUUUUCUGAUGAAUCAGCAUUGAUUAUUUGAUUAUACCGUUGUAACCGUGCAACCGUCGCUUUAAUGCAGGAUAACGUGGGACAGAUGAAAAUCUUUGUUUCGUGGUAUUACACACAGGAAAAUAUUUGCCUUAAACUGAUUUGAUAGACCCGAUCAGUGGAUAUAAAAUGCAAUUAUUCACAAAUCCACUUUUUAGACGUGACCUCACAAAAGUAAAACAAUUGUAAACGUUUUCUAAUCCUGCUUACAUUAACCCAACUCUGUGAACAAAAGUAUUCAUGAAUGAUUUCCAGGGAUGGAUUUGAUAGCGAUCCUGAUUCCACAUUUGCCAUGUUUAUUAUUGAUCAUCUCAACGUGGGGGAAAAGGUGGACUUCAUGUUUGUGUGAAUCUUAAACAUUCCCCUAGAAAGUGAAGAAAACGCUGGAUUGACAUUUUUGGUAAUCUGCUGUAUUUAAAUGAGUUUGAA